UGCCCAAUGAAUUUUUAAUGGCUGCAGUAUUAUGACUGUACAAAGGUAGCAUAAUCAAUAGUUUCUUAAUUAGAAGCUGGAAUGAAUGAAUUUACGAAAAAAAAAUUGUCUCAAUUUAAAAUAUACAAUUUUAUUUUUAAGUAAAAAAGCUUAAAUUUAAUUAAAAGACGAGAAGACCCUAUAGAAUUUUAUAUAAUUUUUUUAAGUAAAGAAUAUUUUAUAAAAAUUGUAUUUUAUUGGGGUGAUAAAAAAAUUUAAUUAACUUUUUUUAUAUUUUAACAAUUAUUUUUGAAUUUAUGAUCCAAUAUUUUGAUUAGAAGAAUAAAUUACCUUAGGGAUAACAGCGUAAUAUUUUUUAAAAGUUCAUAUUAAAAAAAAUGAUUGCGACCU
Molecule: ribosomal RNA, 390 nt
Filed under: Stenus clavicornis
Lineage: Eukaryota; Metazoa; Arthropoda; Insecta; Coleoptera; Staphylinidae
Description: partial 16S ribosomal RNA
Source: RNAcentral